This is a long non-coding RNA of Portunus trituberculatus (swimming crab), 340 nucleotides long. RefSeq lists it as uncharacterized. The record is from RefSeq and is a predicted model, not a curated record. Lineage: Eukaryota; Metazoa; Arthropoda; Malacostraca; Decapoda; Portunidae. The transcript is spliced from 2 exons.
ACUCGCCGCCGGGACUGCCUUGAAAUAGCAUGUGUAGCUACGUGUGUGUUGAAUCGAGUCCCUUCUACAGCCCGUGAUCUGCCGUGAAAGGGUAAACAUCGCCGCCCAACCCGCAUUAAAAUCUGGCAGAGUGAGUCAAAAGAGGCAGCAAAUCUCACAUUGUCAAAGGCAGUCCAGGACAUCACUGCUCGCUGGCACAAGCAAACUGACCACUGAAAUCAGAAUGAAUGAAUGAUACAGUCAACAAUCCAAAUGACUCUAAAACCAAGCAACACCAAGAGAAUAGAUGGAAAAAUGACGGUGGGGGAAAGAAAUAUACAGGGAAUAAAUAAAUUACGGG